This 221-nucleotide ribosomal RNA is filed under the name Oleiphilus sp. HI0133. RNAcentral describes it as "partial 16S ribosomal RNA". It matches the Rfam family "Bacterial small subunit ribosomal RNA", at positions 1 to 221 of the family's 1533-position model. The record is from RNAcentral. Lineage: Bacteria; Pseudomonadati; Pseudomonadota; Gammaproteobacteria; Oceanospirillales; Oleiphilaceae.
AGAUUAAACUGAAGAGUUUGAUCAUGGCUCAGAUUGAACGCUGGCGGCAGGCUUAACACAUGCAAGUCGAGCGGUAACAGAUCUAGCUUGCUAGAUGCUGACGAGCGGCGGACGGGUGAGUAACGCGUAGGAACCUGCCCAGUAGUGGGGGAUAGCCCGGUGAAAACCGGAUUAAUACCGCAUACGCUCUACGGAGGAAAGGGGGCUUCGGCUCUCGCUAU